AUGCUUAUCCUUCCCUCGGCGCCCUCGCUGCGACCGCGGCUCGGCCUCGGGCCGUCCUCUAGCCGCGCGCGCGGAGUCGCCCUCCGUGCCCUGCCGGGCCGCCUCGAGCUCUGGCACCCACGCCUCGCCGCCGUAGAGAGCGGGCCUCCUUCCAGCCAAUCUUCUGCCCCGCCUCCUCAGCUUAGCUCGGAAUUGCUGGGUGGCAUGUCAGGAUUGGAUGCGGGGUUCGGAGGCGGUGGUGGUGGUGGAGACGGAGGUGGUGACGCUGAUCUCGGGUGGGUGCGGGUGUUCCCGCACGUGCUCACGGCGUCCAUGGCCAAUUUCCUCUUUGGCUACCACAUUGGGGUCAUGAAUGGUCCGAUAGAGGAUAUUGCACGAGAGCUUGGUUUUCAAGGAAAUCCAUUUCUCCAAGGUCUUGUGGUCAGCAUAUUCAUUGUCGGUGCAUUCUUUGGGAGCUUAGGCUCGUCUGCGCUAGUUGAUUAUUUAGGUUGUAAAAGGACUCUUCAGAUUGAUAGUAUUCCAUUAAUUCUUGGGGCUUUCAUCAGUGCACAGGCACAUUCGUUGGAUGAGAUGCUCCUGGGAAGGUUCCUUGUUGGCAUUGGAAUUGGCGUAAAUACCGUGCUUGUUCCAAUAUAUAUCUCUGAGGUUGCUCCAACAAAAUACAGAGGCACUUUGGGUACUCUAUGCCAGAUUGGAACAUGUUUAGGAAUAAUUGCUGCACUUUCCUUGGGGAUACCUUCUGAAAGUGAUCCACAUUGGUGGCGAACAAUGCUUUAUGCAGCAUGUGUGCCUGGUUUUUUCAUUGUUGUUGGAAUGCAAUUCGCCGUUGAGAGUCCACGCUGGCUUGCCAAGGUUGGGAGAUUAGAUGAUGCCAGAAAAGUGGUAGAGAAUAUUUGGGGAGUUGCUGAAGCGGAGAAGGCCAUGGAAGAAAUGAAAUCUGUUGUUGCAAAUGAUGAUUCACAGGCUAGCUGGUCAGAACUUCUGGCAGAACCCCACAACAGAGUUGCAUUGAUUGGAGGGUCGCUUUUCUUUCUGCAACAGUUUGCUGGAAUAAAUGGUGUUCUCUAUUUUUCAUCAUUAACAUUCCGUGAUGUUGGUAUUACGAGUGGUAUUUUGGCGAGCUUAUAUGUUGGAAUAACCAACUUUGGAGGGGCACUUGUUGCUUCAAAUUUGAUGGACAAGCAAGGACGGAAGAAUCUUUUGAUAGGGAGCUAUCUUGGAAUGGCAUUUGCUAUGUUCCUCAUAGUGUUUUCCAUCAGCUUUCCCCUUGAUGAAGGCGUUGGACAUACCCUCUCAGUUACCGGAACUCUUUUGUACAUUUUUACUUUUGCUCUUGGUGCUGGGCCAGUCACUGGAAUUAUCAUACCUGAGCUGAGCAGUGCCCGGACACGCUCAAAAGUUAUGGGGUUCAGCUUCACUGUACAUUGGAUAUGUAAUUUUGUGGUGGGACUAUAUUUCCUGGAGCUUGUAAAGUUGUUUGGCGUCGGAGCGGUGUAUGCAGGUUUCGGUGGAGUCUCCUUGCUGUCCGCACUUUUCGCUUACAAUUUCAUAGUUGAGACAAAAGGACGUUCUCUUGAGGAAAUUGAGAUGUCUCUGAGCCCUGCUGCCCCAGGGGAACGAAAGUAG
RNAcentral lists this ribosomal RNA (1626 nucleotides) under Triticum aestivum (bread wheat). RNAcentral describes it as "partial small subunit ribosomal RNA". Lineage: Eukaryota; Viridiplantae; Streptophyta; Magnoliopsida; Poales; Poaceae. The record is from RNAcentral.